UCCGUCCAUCAUAAUGGAAUAGGAGGACAGUGAAGUUCCCUGAAAACUUUUUAAUGUUUGCAUCAAUAUUUUUUCUCUGAUCAUAACCAACUGUGAAGGUUACAAGAUAUUUUGGUGUGCUGGUCAAGUCCUCACUAGGCUUACCCCACAAUCUGCGUAAAUAGAAAUCUGACUCAGCUUCAACAAUUCCUGGUGGCAGUCUUUCUGCACCACGGGGAUUUGAAGGGACCCAAAUCUUUGAUGUGUCAUUCAGAUUUUGCACUUGAGUUGUCUUAUUAUUAUCCUUCCUUGAAUACGAAGAACUGGACGGAGUUUCAGUGGGCAAGCCUAAUUUUCUGCUAUCAACGUAUGAGAGAUCAACAGAAGGAAGAAGGCUGGAUGAGAUAUUCAGCUUAGUCAAGGACAACGUUGGAAAAGAUACCCCUAUCAAGAAGCCAAAAACAACUCCAAGAAAAGUUGUUACAAUAAGCCUCAUUGUCUCAUUUGGUUUUUUACUAACCGUACUUCUUGAAAGGAUUCCCAUUCUAUUUACAAUAGUAUCUUGAUAUUUACAAGGAAUAUGAGCAGCAAUGUAAAAAUUGAAACUGGUUUGCUGUUUGUUAGGCCCUGAAUAAACAGAUUCUGAAUAGCUAAAGCAAGAUCAAGCGAAGGGGUAGUUAAGAAACCAAUAAAUCAGGAGAAACCCACUUCACAAAGAAAUAAAUCUGGGGUCCAACAGAGUUAGAAAAAUGAGAAAACUCGUGAUCGGCUGCUGGAGUUUGAAAAACAGAGUGGAAAGAAGAAAAGAAAGAAUUUUCCGGGGAAAAAGAAAAGGCAGUGAUUGGUGGGUAACUGGGUAUCUGUCUUCCGUUCUUCUGGCGAAGCUCUGGAAAAGGGAAAAUUGGAUCUUGUAGAGUAGAUAUGUAGAAUCAAUUCUAUUCCAUUUUCCGUUACUUGGGUUUUUCUCUUGAAGAUAUGUUAAAAAGACUUCUCCUUUGGGUUGAAUUUUCAAGUGAAAGUAUCAAACUUU
Molecule: unclassified non-coding RNA, 1009 nt
Filed under: Hevea brasiliensis (rubber tree)
Lineage: Eukaryota; Viridiplantae; Streptophyta; Magnoliopsida; Malpighiales; Euphorbiaceae
Source: RNAcentral